RNAcentral lists this long non-coding RNA (295 nucleotides) under Oryza brachyantha (malo sina). RNAcentral describes it as "long non-coding RNA (OBRA_LNC003172)". Lineage: Eukaryota; Viridiplantae; Streptophyta; Magnoliopsida; Poales; Poaceae. The record is from RNAcentral.
GAGGUGCACGAGGAGAUGUUGGCGUUACUGGUGCUGUUGUAGGUUGUGGUGUUGGUUCCGCUCGCACCGGCGGUGGAGGUUUAUUGAUCGGUGUUGUUGGUGCAUUUGGUGGUGUUGGUCCUCCUCUUACUGGUGGUGGUGGUGGUGCACGUGGAGGAUUUCUUCUUGGAGGUGUAUCAGGUUCCUCGGCGUUAGCAAUAGAAAAGAGCGCGAGAGUCACAACGGCGAGACGGACGACAUUGGGUAUUGAGGUUCUCAAUGCCAUGUCUAUUCGCCGAGGUACUCCACUCUUUCC